GUCGGAGUGGCCUAGUCUGGUUAGGGCGUCGGACUCAUAAUCCGGAGGUCGGGGGUUCGGAUCCCCCCUCCGACA
This 75-nucleotide transfer RNA is filed under the name Methanocella paludicola SANAE. Its description in RNAcentral is "tRNA-Met (CAT) (tRNA-Met-CAT-1-1)". It matches the Rfam family "tRNA". From Rfam's summary of the family: Transfer RNA (tRNA) molecules are approximately 80 nucleotides in length. Their secondary structure includes four short double-helical elements and three loops (D, anti-codon, and T loops). Further hydrogen bonds mediate the characteristic L-shaped molecular structure. tRNAs have two regions of fundamental functional importance: the anti-codon, which is responsible for specific mRNA codon recognition, and the 3' end, to which the tRNAs corresponding amino acid is attached (by aminoacyl-tRNA synthetases). tRNAs cope with the degeneracy of the genetic code in two manners: having more than one tRNA (with a specific anti-codon) for a particular amino acid; and 'wobble' base-pairing, i.e. permitting non-standard base-pairing at the 3rd anti-codon position. RNAcentral also lists the same sequence under 3 other names. Lineage: Archaea; Methanobacteriati; Methanobacteriota; Methanomicrobia; Methanocellales; Methanocellaceae. The record is from RNAcentral.